CCUACGGGAGGCAGCAGUGAGGACUAUUGGUCAAUGGGCGCGAGCCUGAACCAGCCAAGUCGCGUGAGGGAUGACGGUCCUAUGGAUUGUAAACCUCUUUUGUCGGGGAGCCAUGCCCUCCCCGUGUGGCGUGACAGCGAGUACCGGAAGAAAAAGCAUCGGCUAACUCCGUGCCAGCAGCCGCGGUAAUACUGAGGCUGCGAGCGUUAUCCGGAUUUAUUGGGUUUAAAGGGUGCGUAGGCGGAAGAUGAAUGCAGCGGUCAAAGGUCGGUGCUACACACCGGCCUGCCGUUGAAACUGGUGUGCGUGAGGGGGCGAGAAGUAUGCGGAAUGCGUGGUGUAGCGGUGAAAUGCAUAGAUAUCACGCAGAACUCCGAUUGCGAAGGCAGCAUACCGGCGCUCAACUGACGCUGAGGCACGAAAGCGUGGGUAUCGAACAGGAUUAGAUACCCGUGUAGUC
RNAcentral lists this ribosomal RNA (460 nucleotides) under uncultured bacterium. RNAcentral's name for it is "partial 16S ribosomal RNA". It matches the Rfam family "Bacterial small subunit ribosomal RNA", at positions 338 to 795 of the family's 1533-position model. The record is from RNAcentral.